UGGAUCGAUGAAGAACGCAGCUAGCUGCGAUAACUAGUGCGAAUUGCAGACACAUUGAGCACUAAGAAUUCGAACGCACAUUGCGCCAUCGGGUUCAUUCCCGUUGGCACGUCUGGCUGAGGGUCGAAUUUGAAUAUCAAACAUCCGUGUGUUUUCCAACUUAUGGUGUAUUCGGCGAGCUAUGAUGGUGUUGUUGGCAAUGUGCUGCGUGUGUGUGUUGCGGCCUCUUUUAAGGAGAGGUCACUUCAUGUGCUCGAGGCAUGGCCGACGCGCCGACAUACCUUGCUAAGGCUUUGUGCCAUAUAUCGCUCGUAAUCAUUUGCUCCAUGCGAGGCGAUGAUGGCCGUCAAGUGUCGCUCUCUUAACCAUAGAUACGGCUCCGAGCACGUGUUUGCCAAUUGGCUAUCGGUUUGGGGUGCCCGUAUCAGAAUUGCUGGAAAUGGAAGAGAGGGUGAUGCUAGGUUGCUGUCACUAUGUUUUGACCUCAGCUCAGUCGUGAUU
RNAcentral lists this ribosomal RNA (501 nucleotides) under Hysterothylacium aduncum. RNAcentral's name for it is "eukaryotic LSU rRNA". The stretch from base 1 to 126 matches the Rfam family "5.8S ribosomal RNA", at positions 29 to 154 of the family's 154-position model. Lineage: Eukaryota; Metazoa; Nematoda; Chromadorea; Rhabditida; Raphidascarididae. The record is from RNAcentral.